GCCUUGUUAAUUUCAUAUAUGUACAUUAUUGUAUUUGACAGUUGGAUUUAUUGAUAUACAACAUUUUCUACUGGUUUGGGUAAUUUUGGUUUGACUGUAGUUUACUUCAAAGGUUUUCUUUUUAUGCUUCAUUAGACCGCACACUUUCUUUAUUUCUAUUGGUCAUCAUAUUUUGGUGCUAUAUUUUUUUUUUCUUCUAUGCUGGUCAUCACUUUCUAUAUACUGGUGGACAUAUUCAUAUGUGCUUGAUAUAAUUUUAAGUCUGAACUUGUCUUCUUUCUUAGUUUUCUAUAUUCUGUAUUGAGGUCAAUUAUAUUUCUUUAUUACUAAUUAUAAAUAAAUAC
RNAcentral lists this long non-coding RNA (344 nucleotides) under Mytilus galloprovincialis (Mediterranean mussel). Lineage: Eukaryota; Metazoa; Mollusca; Bivalvia; Mytilida; Mytilidae. The record is from RNAcentral.